CUUCAUAUAAGCUUGCUGCAUACCUUUGAUUAUAAUAUCUCAUUUCUAACUCUUGUUAUUGUCAGGAAACCAUUUUGCUAUUUUUAGUAAAAGUGACCUUAACCUUGAAUCAAGGGAGUCCAAACGCAAUACAAACCCAGGUUUUCAUAUUAGCUUGCUCGAUACCAAGUUUGAUUACAAUUAUCUCAUCCCUAAUUCUAGUUACUGUCCAGAAACCAUAUUUCUAUUUUUAGUAACAGUGACCUUGAUCCCAGGGGUCCAAAA
Ruditapes philippinarum (Manila clam) is the source of this 264-nucleotide long non-coding RNA. RefSeq lists it as uncharacterized. The record is from RefSeq and is a predicted model, not a curated record. NCBI's taxonomy places the organism in Eukaryota, Metazoa, Mollusca, Bivalvia, Venerida, Veneridae. The transcript is spliced from 2 exons.